GGGAAAGCAAGCUAGAAAAAUUGCAGUGGAAAAUGCCCUUAAGAAAUUGAAAAAGGGACCUGAUGGGCGUUACAUCAAUGUUUGGGAGGUUAUGAGUGAUUUGGACAUUCUGAUUGGUGCUUUUGAGAACAUCAUUUCGGGACCAGAAUAUGCUGAAUUGAGACAGGGAGGACCUAAGAAAUUGAAUAUGCAGUUCUUCAAAGACAUACAAGCUCGUAUGAGAGAUCCAAACUUUGAGUUCUCUCCUGAAAUAAAAUUGAAACCAAAGAGCAAAUUGGUACGUAGAAAGAAAUGGCAGAAAACAGAAUCUAGGCGUAGGAAAGCACGGAAGCGAUAGCUUCAUGGCGACACCUUUCUUUUUUGCAUUUAAACAUUGUACCAAUAGAUUUAUUUCUUAGUGGUUGAUUCCAAGUUUCUUUAACUAUUGGACGAGAGAUAAUUCAUUUCAAGAAGAAGAUGUGGCAGCUGUUAAUAAAAAUUCCUUACUGCUU
Molecule: unclassified non-coding RNA, 491 nt
Filed under: Hevea brasiliensis (rubber tree)
Lineage: Eukaryota; Viridiplantae; Streptophyta; Magnoliopsida; Malpighiales; Euphorbiaceae
Source: RNAcentral